CGGAGCAUAGCUCAACAGGACAGAGCAUUCGCCUUCUAAGCGAACGGUUGUGGGUUCGACUCCCGCUGUUCCGG
RNAcentral lists this transfer RNA (74 nucleotides) under Enterococcus casseliflavus. Its description in RNAcentral is "tRNA-Arg". It matches the Rfam family "tRNA". From Rfam's summary of the family: Transfer RNA (tRNA) molecules are approximately 80 nucleotides in length. Their secondary structure includes four short double-helical elements and three loops (D, anti-codon, and T loops). Lineage: Bacteria; Bacillati; Bacillota; Bacilli; Lactobacillales; Enterococcaceae. RNAcentral also lists the same sequence under 2 other names. The record is from RNAcentral.